AAAGAUUCAACAGGAGUAGAAAUGGAUUUCAUUUUGCCCAACGGGCAAAGAAUUGUCCCAUACAAAUAGAGAUUGGAGAGGUGAUUGACCCAUGAACACGCUAAGCAAAAGGUGGCUGUUGCCAAGUAGUUUUGGGCUUUUGGCAUGCUUUCUUUGAAAUUAAAGCCAAGCAACUUUUCAGAUUUGCUUGUUCCAAGUAAAAUGCCGAAAAAUGGAUGGUACACCUGGCAGACAUGAUAGAAG
This 243-nucleotide long non-coding RNA is filed under the name Setaria italica (foxtail millet). RNAcentral describes it as "long non-coding RNA (SITA_LNC003867)". The record is from RNAcentral. Lineage: Eukaryota; Viridiplantae; Streptophyta; Magnoliopsida; Poales; Poaceae.